RNAcentral lists this transfer RNA (87 nucleotides) under Chloroflexota bacterium. RNAcentral describes it as "Chloroflexi bacterium (mine drainage metagenome) tRNA-Ser". It matches the Rfam family "tRNA". Rfam says of the family: Transfer RNA (tRNA) molecules are approximately 80 nucleotides in length. Their secondary structure includes four short double-helical elements and three loops (D, anti-codon, and T loops). RNAcentral also lists the same sequence under 1 other name. The record is from RNAcentral. Lineage: Bacteria; Bacillati; Chloroflexota.
GGAGAGAUGCCAGAGUGGAUGAAUGGGACAGUCUCGAAAACUGUUGUGGGCUUCGGUUCACCGUGAGUUCGAAUCUCACUCUCUCCG